Molecule: non-coding RNA, 552 nt
Organism: Pelobates cultripes (western spadefoot toad)
Lineage: Eukaryota; Metazoa; Chordata; Amphibia; Anura; Pelobatidae
Source: the annotation of a GenBank genome assembly
GAAGUGACACUGGUAUACGGAGUCACGUGAUCGGAUUGGAAGUCACGUGACGCGGAAGUGACGCGAUGUCAGAAUCACGUGAUCGGACUAAAGGUCACGUGACGCGGAAGUGCAGGACGCCAGCAAACGGCGGCAAAUUGAAUACCCAGGAUAUUUAAAGAGAGGAAGAUCACUAUGGACCACACACUUUGACAAAGACCUGGAGGUCGAAACGCGUUAGUGCUGUGGUCUCUUUCACUAUAUAGUAUUUUAAUUGAUUUUUAUUUUGUAUGUUAUUUUAUAUAUAGUAAAGUUUAUAUGUUUUAACUCAUUGGACAUCCUGAAAAUUAUUUGAAGGACCAGAAAGGAGUUAUCCUGGUGGAGAAAGCUGGAAUAGGCUUAUUAUUCACCUGCCAUUGAAGUCAGAGCCAGCUCUAUGUGGCUCUGUGUCUGUGAGUGACCCAAUACCUUUGAAUUGAUUAUUCCUACUUUAUAUAACGGUAUUAUACUAUGUAUGUGUUUUUACUGUUUUUAUUAUAGGAUAAUCAGGAGGUGAUUUACUCACUACAGUAA